UCAGAGGUCAGUGUGUGCCUCAUGCCUCGUGCCUCCUGCAAAGGUUUAGCCUGAAGUGGAAGAGAAGCCUUUGUGUGUUGUGCUGCGAUUAGCCAGAGUUUCUGGACGCGCUCUUAUCUGUAAAAUGCCAUCAGCUGAAGGCUGUUAUUUAGGGAAUCGAUCAGACCAGCAAUUUUAAGCACCUGGGACCACCAGGAAUGUUAUCAUCUUCAUCUACAGCAUGGAAAAUUAAGGAAAAUGAAUGCUCAGAUCACCAUGGAUAUUACAUUCAAAAGAACUGACACCAAAUCAGUCAGUGAUGGUGCCCUCUACAGGCAGGGGCGGGUGCUGUCUGACGCACAAUGAUCACCUCAUCCCAUGGACGGGAUAAAUGAAAUGACAUAAAGGAUGUACGGUAAAUCUAUAUAUUGAUA
This is a long non-coding RNA of Bufo bufo (common toad), 413 nucleotides long. RefSeq lists it as uncharacterized. The transcript is spliced from 2 exons. Lineage: Eukaryota; Metazoa; Chordata; Amphibia; Anura; Bufonidae. The record is from RefSeq and is a predicted model, not a curated record.